This 203-nucleotide unclassified non-coding RNA is filed under the name Hevea brasiliensis (rubber tree). Lineage: Eukaryota; Viridiplantae; Streptophyta; Magnoliopsida; Malpighiales; Euphorbiaceae. The record is from RNAcentral.
AAUGACGCCAUCUGAUAUGAGACCACCUUCCAUAGAGGACUCGAGGAAUGCUUCAAGUUUACCUUUGUCAUAUGACUCAUCACUACCAGUAGUCUCGAUAAGGACAUAAAAAUUAUAUAAUGAGGUUGGUAAAGGAUUUCGAACGCCUUCCAAGUGAGCCAAAACCAAAUCCAUAGCAUGACUGUCCAUAAAUUCAAACGCGG